This 158-nucleotide ribosomal RNA is filed under the name Mucor fuscus. RNAcentral describes it as "5.8S ribosomal RNA". It matches the Rfam family "5.8S ribosomal RNA". From Rfam's summary of the family: 5.8S ribosomal RNA (5.8S rRNA) is a component of the large subunit of the eukaryotic ribosome. It is transcribed by RNA polymerase I as part of the 45S precursor that also contains 18S and 28S rRNA. The record is from RNAcentral. Lineage: Eukaryota; Fungi; Mucoromycota; Mucoromycetes; Mucorales; Mucoraceae.
CAACUUUUAACAACGGAUCUCUUGGUUCUCGCAUCGAUGAAGAACGUAGCAAAGUGCGAUAACUAGUGUGAAUUGCAUAUUCAGUGAAUCAUCGAGUCUUUGAACGCAACUUGCGCCUUUUGGUAUUCCAAAAGGCACGCCUGUUUCAGUAUCAAAAA